UUUUUUUUUUGUUUUUUUUUUUGUGUUUUUUUUUUUGUUUUUUUUUUUGGUUUUUUUCUCUUGGUCUGACAGUAUCUUCAGUUCUCCAUGGAUUUUUGCCACUUGAUCUUAUGGCCUACUACGUGAUCAUACCAUUUAACCAAACUGCUAAGCUUCAUUUGCUAAGGUAAUUAAUUCACUUUAAAUAUCUUACUCUACUUUGUGAAGGCACUGUUGUAAAAACAUGAUAUUCAGGACCUCAGCAGUAAGAAAGAAUCUGGGAGAAAAUUAAAUUAUUUUUCCCUCCUAUUGGCCAACAACCACCCUUUUAACCCCCAAGAAUAAAUAUGUCAUUAUCUGAAAAAUAGAGGCCCUUUAUUUUAAAAUACCAAGUGUUGUUCAACGUUUUAAACCUAGGUCCAGUUUGAAAAACAUGAAUUAAUUUACCACCAAUUUGUUUGAUAAUAUGUUUCUAGAUACUGCUUGUCUAUAACAAAGAUGAUAAGAAGUAACCUUUUUUUUCCAUAGCAGUAACCACAAAUGCUUAAAAGUUCUGAAAGAUAAAAAAAACUGGAGACCUUGGGCUAGUUUUAUAUUUCUGGAAGUUCAAUAGAUAAAGCAUCAUGAAUCCUUUUGUGAGACUAGAACAGUAUCAAUAGCAGAACAGUAGUUCUGAUGAUCUAAUUCAAAAGCCAAGAAGUCAUUUGCUUAGUGAUUGUGGUUGAUCAGAUAAAGCUUUCAAAAUAUGUAGCUCAUAAGAAAAAUAACAAAUGAGGCACUUGACAAUGUAGUAUUUGUAUGUACUGUCCUGAGGUAUUCACAAGGCUCAGAAAUUUACAAUAUAAUAUAAAUGUAUAAGGUAGCAAAGACAAACACAUAUAAGGAAAUACAGAUUUGAGUGCUGAUUUGUAUAGUAUAAGUUUGUAUUCAAGUGAAGAAAAAGCUUGUGAUAGGUAGAGCUUAGCAAAGAUUGUCUUACCCAGGAUACUUUUAAUGUUUUAAGAGUAUAAGAAAUGGUUUGGUGGAAAGUAGAAGGGGAGAAAGAGCACACAUUUUGGUGUGCAAAAUGGAGAUCCAGAGAAAGAGAAAGGAAGGUUUAGGGAAAUACGGAAGCAGCCUGAAUGAAGGAGGGAAUUACCCAAGCACCCUGGGCAACAUGGCGAGAUGUUGUCUCUAAACAAAAAUAAAAAAAUCAGCUAGGUGUGGUAGCACAUGCCUGUGAUCCCAGCUACUCGGGAGACUGAGGUGGGAGGACUGCUUGAGCCCAGGAGGCCAAAGCUGCAGUGAGCUAUGAUCAUGACACUGCACUCCAGUCUGAGUGACAGAGGAGAUCCUGACUCAAAAAAUUCAUCAUGGUAGCCAUGGCGGUAAUGGAGAAGAAAAGAUACUGUUCAGGCAGGCUAAAUACAACUAACUCAUUGUUUUAAAUUUAAGGAGUUUAAUCUUAAUUCAUGCACAAUACAAAGUCAUUAUAGACACUUCAGAAGAUUAACUGAAAGAGGAAAAAA
RNAcentral lists this long non-coding RNA (1487 nucleotides) under Homo sapiens (human). Its description in RNAcentral is "novel transcript, sense intronic to ROBO2". The record is from RNAcentral. Lineage: Eukaryota; Metazoa; Chordata; Mammalia; Primates; Hominidae.